CAACCUGCCCUUCANAGGGGGACAACAGUUGGAAACGACUGCUAAUACCGCAUACGAUCUAACCUUGGCAUCGAGGAUGGAUGAAAGGUGGCCUCUAUUUAUAAGCUAUCACUGAAGGAGGGGAUUGCGUCUGAUUAGCUAGUUGGAGGGGUAACGGCCCACCAAGGCGAUGAUCAGUAGCCGGUCUGAGAGGAUGAACGGCCACAUUGGGACUGAGACACGGCCCAGACUCCUACGGGAGGCAGCAUG
Molecule: ribosomal RNA, 249 nt
Filed under: uncultured bacterium
Lineage: Bacteria
Description: partial 16S ribosomal RNA
Rfam family: Bacterial small subunit ribosomal RNA
Source: RNAcentral